RNAcentral lists this ribosomal RNA (496 nucleotides) under uncultured bacterium. RNAcentral describes it as "partial 16S ribosomal RNA". It matches the Rfam family "Bacterial small subunit ribosomal RNA", at positions 28 to 506 of the family's 1533-position model. The record is from RNAcentral.
GAUGAACGCUGGCGGCGUGCCUAAUACAUGCAAGUCGAGCGAACAGACGAGGAGCUUGCUCCUCUGACGUUAGCGGCGGACGGGUGAGUAACACGUGGAUAACCUACCUAUAAGACUGGGAUAACUUCGGGAAACCGGAGCUAAUACCGGAUAAUAUAUUGAACCGCAUGGUUCAAUAGUGAAAGACGGUUUUGCUGUCACUUAUAGAUGGAUCCGCGCCGCAUUAGCUAGUUGGUAAGGUAACGGCUUACCAAGGCAACGAUGCGUAGCCGACCUGAGAGGGUGAUCGGCCACACUGGAACUGAGACACGGUCCAGACUCCUACGGGAGGCAGCAGUAGGGAAUCUUCCGCAAUGGGCGAAAGCCUGACGGAGCAACGCCGCGUGAGUGAUGAAGGUCUUCGGAUCGUAAAACUCUGUUAUUAGGGAAGAACAAAUGUGUAAGUAACUAUGCACGUAUUGACGGUACCUAAUCAGAAAGCCACGGCUAACUACGU